GAUCAUGGCUCAGAACGAACGCUGGCGGCGUGGAUAAGACAUGCAAGUCGAACGAGGAGAAUUGCUAGCUUGCUAAUAAUUCUCUAGUGGCGCACGGGUGAGUAACACGUGAGUAACCUGCCCCCGAGAGCGGGAUAGCCCUGGGAAACUGGGAUUAAUACCGCAUAGUAUCGAAAGAUUAAAGCAGCAAUGCGCUUGGGGAUGGGCUCGCGGCCUAUUAGUUAGUUGGUGAGGUAACGG
Molecule: ribosomal RNA, 240 nt
Filed under: uncultured bacterium
Lineage: Bacteria
Description: partial 16S ribosomal RNA
Rfam family: Bacterial small subunit ribosomal RNA
Source: RNAcentral